AUCAGUGGGGGAAGGGGGGAUCACGUCAUAUUCCACCAGUGUCUUACUCCCACCUGGGUGAUACAAAGCAACCAUUUUGCAUGAGAACUCUCACCCAACAUCAACUGAGAUAGAAGAGAGAUUUACUUUGUUUUAGGGUGUACUGUGCUGAGUGGUGAUUAAGGCACUCCUGGUCCCUUCAGCGGUUAUUUCACUGAAAAGCUACUCAGGAUGCGGUUGGCCCAUCUGCAGUGUACUGCUAUACUGCUGUUGAUGAUUUGUCACUUCUUGGAGUGUGUGUGCGUGCACUGAUCACAAGCGGUAGGCCAAGCACACAGCUGAGUUGAACUGUGGCUCACACCGUCCCUCCAAUUCUGGAGACUGAUGCUGGUGCCAGUCGUCGUCGUGGUACCACGACAUCACCUUCUGGAAUACUGUGAGCUCCAGGGCCUCGUUCUGAGUCGUGAUGGGAAACAACCUGUGUGGGAUACUAAAGUAAGCACCACACAUCUGUCAUUUUGAAUUAGAAGAAAGAAAGAGAAUGGAAAAGUAAAGGACAGAGGGAAGGAGGGAAGAAAGAAACUCAAGAAAACGGUAGGCCAAACACACAGCUGAGUUGAACUGUGGCUCACACCAUCCCUCCAAUUCUGGAGACUGAUGCUGGUGCCAGUCGUCGUCGUGGUACCACAACAUCACCUUCUGGAAUACUGUGAGCUCCAGGGCCUCGUUCUGAGUCGUGAUGGGAAACAACCUGUGUGGGAUACUAAAAAAAAAAACAGAAGAUACAAAUGGUGAUACGGGAGCAGCCAUCGACAGGGAAAAUCAUGAUGGCAAAAAUUUGUCUGAAGAAGUCCUGUACACCACCAUUGACCACGGUAAUGAGACAACCCGGAGGAAAAUGGAGCAUGACAGCGAAGAUGGCUGUGACUAUGCCACCAUAAACAUACCUUCUGGACCUGCUCACGAGGCCACCAUCAAAGAGGACUGGAGCGAUGACUAUGUUCUUAUGAACUGAUUCAAGAGAUGUUAUUCUAUUUUUGAGAUGGCACCACCUUCUGGACUGCUAUUCCAUUUCCUUUUAACCUGUGUGCAGUAUGCCGAUGGUUUCUGUACCUGUGUUGCCCGUCGUCUAUGGGUCUAAUAACACAUUAUUAUAAACUGGUGUUUGCUGAUUCCCUGUUUUAAAUUUGGCUUAAUUUUAGUUAAACGAAUGCCAAAAACUUUAUAUAUAGUAUUUGUAAUAAAUAUAAUAUAUAUGCAAAUCUACCUCUCAGUCGGUUCUGAGUUCACAUUACAGAAUUUGUUUGUUACAGAUGAGGUGUGCUUGCGAUGGGCAAAUUUAAGGCUUUUUUCUAUACACGGAUACAGUAGAUCUUGCAAAUUAGAUUUACCUUAGGCUAGACACAAAGGUGUCAUUCAUGGAAUCCAUGUGGGAAGAGAGAGAGAGAGAGAAAGCAAGAGAGACUUAAAAUUUUACACCAGUAGGUUAACCUCAGGCAUUUUUACUUUAAAUGCCACGACAAUAUUAAUGAGCAUAGCAUAACCAUUACAAAUUAAAAAUAACCAUAAAAAAUUAAAAGUAAAAAAAAGAAAACCCUCAUUGCCAACCUGCCAAAGAACCCCCGACACACCAUGUUGUGGGAAUGUGGGAAAAUUACACACAUUCCUGGGACAUGACAUCCAUUCUUCUUUCUGCAAAUGAAUGUUCCUUUCUGAGGUCGGACAUCUUUAGCUACUAUAAAUCACGUGUCUGAAAAUAUUAAAAACAGACAAUGCUGUUGUGGUGUGGGGAUGGCUGGUUUAAGCAGCCACACCUGCCCUGGGUCAAGCUAAUUAGACCUGGCCAAUUGGAUAAUUGGUUAAGAAUUAGAUAAUUGGCCAGGCAAAUUGGACCCAGGAACAGGAGUGGCUGCACCUGUGCAUAGUGAGGUAAUCACUGCGCACAGGUUAAAUCUGCCAUCCCCACCCACACAAGGGAGCCUUCUCUGUCAUGACAGGAUUUUAAAUCUGCUCAUUUGGCUGUACCAUCUUGCCAAACCCUCCUGAAUAAAUGUGGACUAUUUGAACAUCUUCUCCCUGUGUCUCUGUGCUGGAGGGCCCCUUGGAAAGCCACUUCGGUGACCUGUGGCAGGCGUGUUUGCCACAGCUGUAUUCAUAUUUUUGUGUAUGUACAGUAUCCAUGAGUUUCAAAUUUGUACACUAAUAGUGAGUACAACAUGCUUGUAUAGAAGUGAUUUGUUCAAAAUUAAAAACCAUUGGUAAUCACUGUAA
RNA transcript from Anguilla rostrata (American eel), 2250 nucleotides. RefSeq lists it as uncharacterized. The transcript has 6 exons. NCBI's taxonomy places the organism in Eukaryota, Metazoa, Chordata, Actinopteri, Anguilliformes, Anguillidae. The record is from RefSeq and is a predicted model, not a curated record.